Lyophyllum atratum is the source of this 99-nucleotide non-coding RNA. The record is from the annotation of a GenBank genome assembly. Lineage: Eukaryota; Fungi; Basidiomycota; Agaricomycetes; Agaricales; Lyophyllaceae.
GGGCUCUUGGCACAGGGGUAGCGCGCACGCUUCGCAUUACCGUCUGAGCUUACCAGUAUUGCUUGCGUGAGGUCGUGGGUUCAAUUCCCACAGUGUCCA